UCAUCAAACCAUGUACUCCACAAGAGUGGACCUUAUAAGUACUUGACCCAAACACAAAGUUGUCGGAUUACGGAUCUUCAGAUUCUUUUACGUAAUUCUGUGAGAUCAAGUGGCCACAGCUUAUCUCUUUAUCUAAUCCUGAUUGGUUAGUAAUUUUAUUAUGUUUUUGGUGUGUAUCUGUAUGUAUUGUUGUUCAGUACUAUUAGGCCGGUUCUUGAAUCUUGAUUGAUGUGGGUUUUUCAUAUUUUGGUUAAAGAUUGAAACUUUAAGAUUUUAGGGGCUGUGCUGAGAAAACCCACUUGAAAUUGAAGUGGGGUUUGUUUAAUUGUGAUGGAUAGUAAUAAAGAUGAGGCUUUUAGAUGUAUUGGCAUUGCUAAGGAGGCCAUUGCUUCCGGGAAUAAGAACCGGGCUCUUAAGUUUAUUGGGAUUGCUAGAAGGUUGAAUCAGAAUUUGUCUGUGGAUGAUCUUUUGUCUGCGUGUGAGAAUCUUGAUUCGUCAGUGCCUGGGUCAACGAAUGGGGAGAAUCAUGUAGGGAAGGCGAAGGUUGAGGAGGUGAGGGCGAAGGUUGAGGAGUGUAAUUACACGCAAGAGAAUGUGCAGCUGAUUAGGCAGAUUAAGAGGAGUAAGGACUAUUAUUCGAUUCUUGGUGUAGAGAAGAGUUGUUCUGUGGAUGAGAUUAGGAAGGCAUAUAGGAAGUUGUCUUUAAAAGUUCAUCCGGAUAAGAAUAAGGCGCCAGAUUCAGAGGAGGCUUUUAAGAUAGUUUGCAAGGCGUUUCAGUGUUUGAGCAAUGAUGAGUCGAGGAGACAGUAUGAUCAAGUUGGGUUGGUUGAGGGAUUUGAGUCGAAUCUUCAUUAUAAUGCCAGGCGAAGAAGGAGAAGAAGUGAUAUGUUUGAAGAACGUUUUGAUCCUGAUGAUAUUUUCAGGUCCUUUUUUGGUCAGCAUGAUGCGUUUCACACCUCUAAUGUUUACAGAACUAGGCGAACAACCCCACAGCCUAGACAAGAUCAGGGUGAAACUGGACCGAGUCUGAUGAUUCUUCUGCAGCUAUUGCCAUUCCUGCUAAUUAUUGUACUUGCUUAUCUUCCAUUUUCCGAGCCUAAUUAUUCUUUGCAGAGAAACUAUUCUUAUCAGUUUCAGAAGUCGACUGAAAGGUAUGGAGUCGAAUACUUUGUUAAUUCAGCUGAGUUUGAUGACAAAUUUCCAGUAGGAAGUCUUGAGCGUACCAACAUAGAGAGCAAUGUUAUCAAGGACUACAAAAAUAUGCUUGGGCGUUACUGUCAUAUAGAACUCCAGCGAAGACAAUGGAGCCGAAAUCUGCCAACUCCUCACUGUGACAAGCUACAAACUUUUGCAGCUUAAAGAAUGUCUCCUUUCUAAGCUGGAUAUCAAUGUUGAUUAACUAAGAGCAUGAUAUGCAUGUUUGUUGGCCUGUAUAAUGUUGCAGCUACAAUCACCGUACUUUCUGUUGGAGUUAUGCCCCUAUCCAACUCUUUGCCUCAGAGUACUUUAAGCUCCAUGCAUUGUUAAAUCAAGAACAGGUAGUAAGAACAUUGUACAACUUUUGAAACCGUCCCAGAUAGCGUUUUUGUAGUCGUUCCUCAUGCAGUAUAUCUUUGCAGCUCUGAGGCAGUACAUUGCUACUUUUGCAAGCUGCUUGAGUGAUUAAAACUCUGAAAUAUUCAUGCAUUCAAGAUAGAGAUCCUAUUACCCUAUCAUCAUAUACUUUACUAUGAUUGAUGGCUCUUCCCAUCAAAUGGCUACAUGUCACUUUCAGGUUUUUGUUGGUAAUGGUAAUUAUUUGAAUCUUA
RNA transcript from Daucus carota subsp. sativus, 1808 nucleotides. It is a transcript of the gene named chaperone protein dnaJ 49, with no coding region annotated. The transcript is spliced from 3 exons. Lineage: Eukaryota; Viridiplantae; Streptophyta; Magnoliopsida; Apiales; Apiaceae. The record is from RefSeq and is a predicted model, not a curated record.